RNAcentral lists this long non-coding RNA (362 nucleotides) under Gossypium raimondii (Peruvian cotton). RNAcentral's name for it is "long non-coding RNA (GRAI_LNC003989)". Lineage: Eukaryota; Viridiplantae; Streptophyta; Magnoliopsida; Malvales; Malvaceae. The record is from RNAcentral.
CAAUUUUGAAGAAAAUAGUACGGUCAUGUCUUCACGAUUUGGAUUUUAUCCAGCACAGUCAGUUCCUUCUUCGUACCCUACUCCAAAUCCUGAAAUUUUCUCCCUCACAAAGAACGCUAGUAAAAACAGCCAGGCCUAGCACCAGCAGGAGAACAAUAAAGUGAAUCAUGAUGCAAAAGAACUGCAUAUGUUUGUGUGGAGUUCCAGUGCUUUACCGACAUCAGAAGGUGAUGGCCUUCACGUGUUUGGUGGGGCAGAUUUUGGAGCAUCCGAGCAAUCUGGACAGUGUGAUCAGGUCGCUAAAGGAAUCAGGAUGUUGGUCGCUGGUCACUCUCAAAACAAGGAAACCAAAGGUAUAUACA